Molecule: ribosomal RNA, 93 nt
Filed under: Salinicoccus kekensis
Lineage: Bacteria; Bacillati; Bacillota; Bacilli; Caryophanales; Staphylococcaceae
Also listed under: 1 other name
Source: RNAcentral
CCACACCUGUUCCCAUGCCGAACACAGCCGUUAAGCUCUCCAGCGCCGAUGGUAGUUGGACAUACGUCCUGCCAGAGUAGGACGCUGCCAGGC